RNAcentral lists this ribosomal RNA (473 nucleotides) under uncultured bacterium. RNAcentral's name for it is "bacterial SSU rRNA". It matches the Rfam family "Bacterial small subunit ribosomal RNA", at positions 328 to 793 of the family's 1533-position model. The record is from RNAcentral.
CGCUAUCACUCCUACGGGAGGCAGCAGUGGGGAAUAUUGGACAAUGGGCGAAAGCCUGAUCCAGCCAUGCCGCGUGUGUGAAGAAGGUCUUCGGAUUGUAAAGCACUUUAAGUUGGGAGGAAGGGCAGUAAGCUAAUACCUUGCUGUUUUGACGUUACCGACAGAAUAAGCACCGGCUAACUCUGUGCCAGCAGCCGCGGUAAUACAGAGGGUGCAAGCGUUAAUCGGAAUUACUGGGCGUAAAGCGCGCGUAGGUGGUUCGUUAAGUUGGAUGUGAAAGCCCCGGGCUCAACCUGGGAACUGCAUCCAAAACUGGCGAGCUAGAGUACGGUAGAGGGUGGUGGAAUUUCCUGUGUAGCGGUGAAAUGCGUAGAUAUAGGAAGGAACACCAGUGGCGAAGGCGACCACCUGGACUGAUACUGACACUGAGGUGCGAAGGCGUGGGGAGCAAACAGGAUUAGAUACCCUGGUAG